Molecule: non-coding RNA, 106 nt
Organism: Hymenobacter sp.
Lineage: Bacteria; Pseudomonadati; Bacteroidota; Cytophagia; Cytophagales; Hymenobacteraceae
Source: Rfam
CGGCAUGUUUAGGGGUGCUGAUGUUGUGCACAACAUCGGCUGAGAUGAUACCCAUCGAACCUGAACCGGGUAAUGCCGGCGAAGGGAACAAACAAUCCGCGGACGU